Prolemur simus (greater bamboo lemur) is the source of this 107-nucleotide small nuclear RNA. Lineage: Eukaryota; Metazoa; Chordata; Mammalia; Primates; Lemuridae. The record is from Ensembl.
GUGCUCACUUUGGCAGCACAUACGCUAAAACUGGAACUAUACAGAGAAGAUUAGCAUGGCCCCUGUACAAGGAUGGUACCCAAAUUCACAAAGUGCCACAUAUUAAA